Molecule: ribosomal RNA, 486 nt
Filed under: uncultured bacterium
Lineage: Bacteria
Description: partial 16S ribosomal RNA
Rfam family: Bacterial small subunit ribosomal RNA
Source: RNAcentral
GAUGAACGCUGGCGGCGUGCCUAAUACAUGCAAGUCGAACGCUGGAGAUCUAGCUUGCUAGAUCGAAGGAGUGGCGAACGGGUGAGUAAUACAUAAGCAACCUACCCACGAAGACUGGGAUAAUCCCUGGAAACGGGGACUAAUACCGGAUAGGUAAUCGGAAGGCAUCUUCUGGUUAUUAAAGGUUAAAAACACUGGUUGAUGGGCUUAUGGCGCAUUAGUUAGUUGGUGAGGUAACGGCCCACCAGGACGAUGAUGCGUAGCCGUCCUGAGAGGGUGAGCGGCCACAUUGUGACUGGGACACGGCCCAGACUCCUACGGGAGGCAGCAGUAGGGAAGUCUCGGCAAUGGGAGCAACCCUGACCGAGCAACGCCGCGUGAGUGAAGACGGCCUUCGGGUUGUAAAGCUCUGUUGUAAGGGAAGAACGGUAGAUAGAGAAUAUCUAAGUGACGGUACCUGACCAGAAAGCCACGGCUAACUACGUG